GCAAGUCGAGGGGUAACAGGGAGCUUGCUCCGCUGACGACCGGCGCACGGGUGCGUAACGCGUAUAGAACUUACCUUUUACAGGGGGAUAGCCUUUAGAAAUGAAGAUUAAUAUCCCAUAGUAUUGAGAACUGGCAUCGGUUUUUAAUUAAAGAUUUAUCGGUAAAAGAUGGCUAUGCGUCCUAUUAGCUAGAUGGUAAGGUAACGGCUUACCAUGGCUACGAUAGGUAGGGGCCCUGAGAGGGGGAUC
This 249-nucleotide ribosomal RNA is filed under the name uncultured bacterium. RNAcentral describes it as "partial 16S ribosomal RNA". It matches the Rfam family "Bacterial small subunit ribosomal RNA", at positions 57 to 305 of the family's 1533-position model. The record is from RNAcentral.